UUUCCUAAUUGUGAUGAAUUAUUUUAGAGUACUAUUGUAUAUACAGAGUACUAUUAAGAGUAGAUUUCACCGUUAGUCCCAAAGCUUUGGAAAACAGGCCAUGAAGCUCGGUCUCAUUACUGCAUAUUCCCGUUCUUCUCCGACCACCGUGACACUGAUCUCCGGCAAUCCCCAUGCUAAAACGGCGACGUUGGGCGUGAAAUUUCCCUCUUCCUUCAGACUGAACUCCGGGUAUAAAAUCUCUAGCUUCUCCCUGACAAUUUGUUCGUCCAAAUCAUCAUCUUCAGUUGAUUCUGCUGGUGCCGGAACGGAAACCUAUAAUCAAACUGUAGAUGGAGAAAUUUCGUCGCCUCAGGUUACGGAAUCGCUCAAUAUUGAAGUCGGAAGCCCUAAAAUUCUACCGAAUUAUUUCCCUCCCAAAUUAAGCUUAAGUGACCAAGCUUUCUUUCUCUUGACCUUCAUUGCUUGCACGACAUCCGUGGCUUUCACAAGUCUGGUAGUUGCAACUGUGCCAACACUGUUUGCGAUGCGUAGAGCAGCAAUAUCUUUGUCAAAGUUGGCAGAUACUGCUCGAGAGGAGCUUCCUAGUACAAUGGCUGCUAUCAGGCUGUCUGGGAUGGAAAUCAGUGACCUUACACUGGAAUUGAGUGAUUUAAGUCAAGAGAUAGCUGAUGGUGUCAACAAAUCUGCUCGAGCUGUGCAAGCAGCAGAAGCUGGAAUCAGACAAAUUGGGUCUCGUGCUCACCAGCAAACAAUGUCAAUGAUUCAGGAAAGAGCAGAUCUUCCAGUCAUAUCUUUGCAGCCAGUUGUAACUGGAGCAGCAAAGAAGACUUCUCAUGCUGUCACCCAAGCUACGAGAAGAUUCAUGAAUAUGAUCUCUGGAGGUGAACUUGGCUCAGAAAUGGAAGACAACGGUAAAAUUGAUCCAGAAUCUUAAGAGAGCAUAUCUCCAUUAUUUUACUCUAUCCUUGGCAGAGUAACAACAUGUUUAUAUGUUCCAAACAAAAUUCUGAACAUGAACAACACAUGUACUAAACAAUGAUUCAGAACGUUUUUCAGUAAAUAAUAGCCAUCUUUCAGGAAUGAGGUAGGCAGCCACAUUUUCACGCCUGCUGUGUGGGAAGGAGAGUUUCGUCUGCUCGAUUUCGCACUCAAGAUUUUCAGAACUGCACAGCAAAUCAUGGUUAUCCAGUUAUUCACUAAUCAAUGAAGAAAAGAAACACGGAGAAGGUAAAGUUAUUGAGAAAAAAAAGAAUAGGUUUCGAAUAAGAAAUUGAUUCAAGGAAUUUCAUUUCAAUCAUUUUUGAAUUUUUGCUAGAUUUGAAGGUUUGAGAAGGUUUGAAGAUUUGAAUUUGUGAUGAGUUUGGAUUGGUUGUUCUUGCAAACAAUGUAAAAUAUACUUUCGAGUUCAUAUAUCAUUUUUGAUGGAGA
Non-coding RNA from Solanum lycopersicum (tomato), 1431 nucleotides. The record is from RefSeq and is a predicted model, not a curated record. Lineage: Eukaryota; Viridiplantae; Streptophyta; Magnoliopsida; Solanales; Solanaceae.